UUCCCCUAGUAACGGCGAGUGAAGAGGGAAAAGCCCAAAUUUGUAAUCUGGCCUUUCUUGAAAGGGUCCGAAUUGUAAUUUUGAGAACUGUUUUCUGUGCUGGACCAUGUACAAGUCUGUUGAAAAGCAGCAUCAUUGAGGGUGAAAAUCCCGUAGAUGAUAUGGACUACCAGGGCAAUAUGAUACAGUCUCUAAGAGUCGAGUUGUUUGGGAAUGCAGCUCAAAGUGGGUGGUAAAUUCCAUCUAAGGCUAAAUAUAGGUGAGAGACCGAUAGCAAACAAGUACCGUGAGGGAAAGAUGAAAAGAACUUUGGAAAGAGAGUUAACAGUACGUGAAAUUGUUAAAAGGGAAACAUUUGAAGUUAGACUUGUUAUUGUUGGAUCAGCUUCUUUAUUGAGGUGUAUUCUGAUGAUUAACAGACCAGCAUCAAUUUUUGAGUGCCGGAAAAAGGUAUUGGGAAUGUAGCAUCCUCUGGUUGUGUUAUAGACCUUUACUUCAGAAUACGGUGCUUAGGAUUGAGGAACGCGGUAAGCUUUGUUGCAGACUGUAAAAGGUCUCCUUACUACGGAUGUUGGUGCAAUAGCUUUAAAUGACCC
This 596-nucleotide ribosomal RNA is filed under the name Pucciniastrum epilobii. RNAcentral describes it as "partial large subunit ribosomal RNA". It matches the Rfam family "Eukaryotic large subunit ribosomal RNA", at positions 75 to 650 of the family's 3401-position model. The record is from RNAcentral. Lineage: Eukaryota; Fungi; Basidiomycota; Pucciniomycetes; Pucciniales; Pucciniastraceae.